Molecule: ribosomal RNA, 428 nt
Filed under: uncultured bacterium
Lineage: Bacteria
Description: partial 16S ribosomal RNA
Rfam family: Bacterial small subunit ribosomal RNA
Source: RNAcentral
GUGGGGAAUAUUGGGCAAUGGGCGCAAGCCUGACCCAGCAACGCCGCGUGAAGGAAGAAGGCUUUCGGGUUGUAAACUUCUUUUACCAGGGACGAAACAAAUGACGGUACCUGGUGAAUAAGUCACGGCUAACUACGUGCCAGCAGCCGCGGUAAUACGUAGGUGGCGAGCGUUAUCCGGAUUUAUUGGGUGUAAAGGGCGUGUAGGCGGGACAGCAAGUCAGAUGUGAAAACCAGAGGCUCAACCUCUGGCCUGCAUUUGAAACUGUUGUUCUUGAGUGUCGGAGAGGUAAUCGGAAUUCCGUGUGUAGCGGUGAAAUGCGUAGAUAUACGGAGGAACACCAGUGGCGAAGGCGGAUUACUGGACGAUAACUGACGCUGAGGCGCGAAAGCGUGGGGAGCAAACAGGAUUAGAAACCCUUGUAGUCC